GCUGGGUGCAGAGACACACGCCUGUAAUCCUAGCAACUCGGGAAGCUGAGGCAGGAGGACCCCAAGUUCAAGGUCAACCUGGGGAACUUAGUGAGACCCUGUCUCCA
This 107-nucleotide small RNA is filed under the name Marmota monax (woodchuck). Lineage: Eukaryota; Metazoa; Chordata; Mammalia; Rodentia; Sciuridae. The record is from RNAcentral.